Long non-coding RNA from Strongylocentrotus purpuratus (purple sea urchin), 603 nucleotides. RefSeq lists it as uncharacterized. The transcript has 3 exons. The record is from RefSeq and is a predicted model, not a curated record. NCBI's taxonomy places the organism in Eukaryota, Metazoa, Echinodermata, Echinoidea, Camarodonta, Strongylocentrotidae.
UUGGGUGGUAUUCUCGAAAGCGGCCUAAGUUAAAUCAGUGGCCUAAACCUGGUUUAAACCAUGGACUAUCUUUUUUGCUAUUCUCGAAGGUGGCCUAAAGAUAAGCCAGGCUUAAAUACGUCAUAGUUCGGCCUAACUUUAGGCCGCUCAGAGGGCAGGUUUAAAUACGUCAUAGUUCGGCCUAACUUCGCGUGACGUCACGUUUUAGUUAAAUCGAGUGUCCGCGGAGAGUGAACGGUUCUUUCCAAUUGAUGCAUGGGGAUGAAAAAAGAAGGCCUCUCCCAAGCUACUGUGUCCCGCCUUGUGAAGUCCAUCUCAAUAGCCAUUGCCAGGAGAUCGGAGCAAUACAUCUCAAUUCUUUCAACAAGAGAGGCAGUCCUGCAGAGUGCAGACCCAACAUGAAUUUUAUAAUUACUGCCAUUUCCCUGGCGUUAAUAUGGUUGGUGCUAUUGAUUGCACCCACAUAGGCGUCUCCAAGCCAGUUGGCCCAACACCAGUUAUUUCCUGAACAGGAAAAAUAGAUACUCCAUUUUUCUUGGAAAGUCUGCUGGAUGAUGUUCUUCUUCAGUAAAAUAAAUGAAGGCAAAUAACCUGAUGAUUAAG